Molecule: long non-coding RNA, 672 nt
Organism: Stegastes partitus (bicolor damselfish)
Lineage: Eukaryota; Metazoa; Chordata; Actinopteri; Pomacentridae
Exons: 2
Source: RefSeq, a predicted model, not a curated record
UUUUUCAUGGUUCUCCAGUGUUGCUGCAGUUCUCUGCUCAUCUUCAUUGUCUCUGUUCAGAUGGACCAUGCCAGCUUCAGAAGGGCCCAGAACGGCACUCUCCUCCUGAAGGCCUCCACUGAGGCUCAGGUUCUGGGCCCGGCGGGCUGGCUACAGGGCCAAGGCACCAGGACAGGUGGAGGAGGGGUUCGUGGAUGAUGCCUGGACCCCACGGUCUUUGUGCCAGAGCCCCUCCGGCAGCACAGCGGCAGCAGGCUGGUCAGGUGAUCCAGCUCUGAGCCAUCCAGUCCUGCCGCCCCGGACCAGCACGCCCCUCCUGAGGCCCCUGAAGAACCGACUCUGCCCUCAUUUCCUCUGACUCUGAGGAGGAAGUUCAGGGUCCUGAUGGUCAGCCAGGAUACCAACAGGUCCUGAAGCUGGCCCGGGCCCUGGUGGAGGUCCGGAGCCUUCAGGGGCUCUCUGAACGCCUGGUGGACAGACUCACAAACAGAGCUGGGGAGCCUGAGGCUGAUCUGACCGACUGGAGGAGAGACACCAUGAGGAGGACACAAGAGCAGGACGAGGGGGCUGAAAGAAGAGGUUUUGAUUUAUUUCAUACAUGACAUGGUUUAUUCUGUCACACUGCAGUUGACCUUUUGUGUAUACAUGAAUAAAUAAGAAGCUUUCUUUGCA